Molecule: ribosomal RNA, 456 nt
Filed under: uncultured bacterium
Lineage: Bacteria
Description: bacterial SSU rRNA
Rfam family: Bacterial small subunit ribosomal RNA
Source: RNAcentral
GAGAACGCUGGCGGUCUGCUUAACACAUGCAAGUCGAACGGGGUCCUUUAGGGGACUUAGUGGCGGACGGGUGAGUAACGGCGUGAGAAUCUGGCUCCAGGAUGGGGACAACAGCUGGAAACGGCUGCUAAUACCCGAUGAGCCGAAAGGUAAAAGAUUUAUCGCCUGGAGAUGAGCUCGCGUCCGAUUAGCUAGUUGGUGGGGUAAAAGCCUACCAAGGCGGCGAUCGGUAGCUGGUCUGAGAGGAUGAGCAGCCACACUGGGACUGAGACACGGCCCAGACUCCUACGGGAGGCAGCAGUGGGGAAUUUUCCGCAAUGGGCGAAAGCCCGACGGAGCAAGACCGCGUGGGGGAAGAAGGCUUUUGGGUUGUAAACCCCUUUUAUCAGGGAAGAAAAAAAUGACGGUACCUGAGGAAUAAGCCUCGGCUAACUCCGUGCCAGCAGCCGCGGUAAU